This 160-nucleotide ribosomal RNA is filed under the name uncultured bacterium. Its description in RNAcentral is "partial 16S ribosomal RNA". It matches the Rfam family "Bacterial small subunit ribosomal RNA", at positions 333 to 508 of the family's 1533-position model. The record is from RNAcentral.
AGACUCCGUACGGGAGGCAGCAGUGGGGAAUAUUGCACAAUGGGCGAAAGCCUGAUGCAGCGACGCCGCGUGAGCGAAGAAGUAUUUCGGUAUGUAAAGCUCUAUCAGCAGGGAAGAUAAUGACGGUACCUGACUAAGAAGCACCGGCUAAAAUACGUGC